Molecule: ribosomal RNA, 503 nt
Filed under: uncultured Glomus
Lineage: Eukaryota; Fungi; Glomeromycota; Glomeromycetes; Glomerales; Glomeraceae
Description: SSU rRNA
Rfam family: Eukaryotic small subunit ribosomal RNA
Source: RNAcentral
AGCAGCCGCGGUAAUUCCAGCUCCAAUAGCGUAUAUUAAAGUUGUUGCAGUUAAAAAGCUCGUAGUUGAAUUUCGGGAUCAAUAUAUCGGUCAUGCUUAGGUAUGUACUGGUAUUAUUGAUUUCUCCCUUCUGAAGAACCAUGAUGUCAUUAAUUUGGUGUCGUGGGGAAUCAGGACUGUUACUUUGAAAAAAUUAGAGUGUUUAAAGCAGGCAUACGCUUGAAUACAUUAGCAUGGAAUAAUGAAAUAGGACGUUUGAUUCUAUUUUGUUGGUUUCUAGGAUCGACGUAAUGAUUAAUAGGGAUAGUUGGGGGCAUUAGUAUUCAAUUGUCAGAGGUGAAAUUCUUGGAUUUUAUUGAAGACUAACUACUGCGAAAGCAUUUGCCAAGGAUGUUUUCAUUAAUCAAGAACGAAAGUUAGGGGAUCGAAGACGAUCAGAUACCGUCGUAGUCUUAACCAUAAACUAUGCCGACUAGGGGUCGGAUGAUGUUAAUUUUUAAUGA